AGGAACAGCUGUUGCUGCCGUGUCUGGUGGGGGGCCUGAGAGUGGCAGGACAAGCAGCCUGCCCCAGAAGUGGAAGAAACUGAAAGUGGAGUCCUGAGAGCUGAAUCUGCCGCAGGCCCGCGGGCCGCCCGGGAAUUAGGAAAGUUAGAGGGGAUCCACGCCCACAAGUGCUAUGGACUCUGAUCGCCCAACCAGAGCAAACCCAGAAGGACAACUCUCCAAGCCUUUCAAUCACUCCCACUAACCCGUAUUGUGGACACACUAUUGUGAGGCCUACUAAGGAUGUACUGCUGAUGACCUUUUGAAGGCCAGUGGACCUGCUCUGCAGACCCAGGCUCCUCUCCCAUGGAGCAUCCCAAGUCUGUCCUUAUGGGAAGAAGCAGGAGCCCUGUCUGGCUGUACCCCAAGCUGCUUUCUCUGGACCAAUGCUGUCAGCGAUAGAGGGAACCCUUCCACCAUCAUGUGAAGAAGCCUGGUCUAGCCUGCUGGAGGAUGAGAGAUCACAUGGAAUGAGGCCACAAUCGUUCCAGCCAAAGCCCCAGUAAUAGAAUUAAGAUCAUCCAAGACCAUGGCAUCCCGCCUGAGAAGUUCAGAUGAGAAGGGCCACCUGAACAACCAACAGAAUCUUAAAAAGUAAAAAAUGAGUGUUGCCACUAUGCAUCUAUUAGAAUGGCAGAAAUCGAAGACACUGACAACAACAAAUGCUGGUGAGGAUGUGGAGCAACAGGAACUCU
Molecule: long non-coding RNA, 734 nt
Filed under: Homo sapiens (human)
Lineage: Eukaryota; Metazoa; Chordata; Mammalia; Primates; Hominidae
Description: non-protein coding LINC00652:3
Source: RNAcentral